RNAcentral lists this transfer RNA (75 nucleotides) under Staphylococcus aureus. RNAcentral's name for it is "tRNA-Gly". It matches the Rfam family "tRNA". From Rfam's summary of the family: Transfer RNA (tRNA) molecules are approximately 80 nucleotides in length. Lineage: Bacteria; Bacillati; Bacillota; Bacilli; Caryophanales; Staphylococcaceae. The record is from RNAcentral.
GCAGAAGUAUUUCAGCGGUAGAAUACAACCUUGCCAAGGUUGGGGUCGCGGGUUCGAAUCCCGUCUUCUGCUCCA